AUAUAAGUAAAGGAAUAUUUCUGCUAUAAAAUUCGAUUUAAUUCGAUUAGGUAGUUGAUAGGGUAAAGGCCUACCAAGCCAACGAUCGAAAGCCAUGUUUGAUAGAUCAUAUGGCCACAUUGGGAAUGAAAUAUCCCAAGUAGAGAACUCUACCAGCAGUCGAGAAUAUUAGUCAAUGCUCGUAAGAGUGAACUAGCUAACUGGAAUCAUAAGUGUGUCACUUGUGAUAAGGUAAAGGAAAAAUGAUGAUGUCACUUUACUAGUAGUGUUGUCCAAAGCUGAGACUCGGUAAUGCCAGAGACGCAAGCGUUAGUCAUCCUGAUCAGGCGUAAAGGGUUUGUAGGCAGCUUUCAAAUAAUGAAAGAUAGAAUCAUAUAGAGGUCACUUUUAGAUAAUUCUUAUAGUAGGGUUGAUAUCUGUAGAUAAUAAGAGGAAUACUAAUUAGCGAAGGCACUUUUCCAAGUAAUGAUUGACGCUGAGAAACGAAGGGGAGGAAAGAAAAUAGGAUUAGAUACCCUCGUAUCCCUCUCUGUCAACGAUGAAUGGUAGUUGCUAGUAUAAAUUAUUAGUGACGAUGCUAACGCGUUAACCAUUCCGCCUUGUGAGUACGACUGCAAAGUUGAAAACAAAAAAAUUAGUCGGUUUCGGAGUAA
This 653-nucleotide ribosomal RNA is filed under the name Phallus costatus. RNAcentral's name for it is "SSU rRNA". It matches the Rfam family "Bacterial small subunit ribosomal RNA", at positions 195 to 928 of the family's 1533-position model. The record is from RNAcentral. Lineage: Eukaryota; Fungi; Basidiomycota; Agaricomycetes; Phallales; Phallaceae.